This 494-nucleotide ribosomal RNA is filed under the name uncultured bacterium. RNAcentral describes it as "partial 16S ribosomal RNA". It matches the Rfam family "Bacterial small subunit ribosomal RNA", at positions 28 to 506 of the family's 1533-position model. The record is from RNAcentral.
GAUGAACGCUGGCGGCGUGCCUAAUACAUGCAAGUAGAACGCUGAAGGAGGAGCUUGCUCUUCUGGAUGAGUUGCGAACGGGUGAGUAACGCGUAGGUAACCUGCCUGGUAGCGGGGGAUAACUAUUGGAAACGAUAGCUAAUACCGCAUGACAACAGUUAUUGCAUGAUAACUGUUUAAAAGGGGCAACUGCUCCACUACCAGAUGGACCUGCGUUGUAUUAGCUAGUUGGUGAGGUAACGGCUCACCAAGGCGACGAUACAUAGCCGACCUGAGAGGGUGAUCGGCCACACUGGGACUGAGACACGGCCCAGACUCCUACGGGAGGCAGCAGUAGGGAAUCUUCGGCAAUGGACGGAAGUCUGACCGAGCAACGCCGCGUGAGUGAAGAAGGUGUUCGGAUCGUAAAGCUCUGUUGUAAGAGAAGAACGAGUGUGAGAGUGGAAAGUUCACACUGUGACGGUAUCUUACCAGAAAGGGACGGCUAACUACGU